Molecule: ribosomal RNA, 471 nt
Filed under: uncultured Nitrosospira sp.
Lineage: Bacteria; Pseudomonadati; Pseudomonadota; Betaproteobacteria; Nitrosomonadales; Nitrosomonadaceae
Description: bacterial SSU rRNA
Rfam family: Bacterial small subunit ribosomal RNA
Source: RNAcentral
AUUGGAGGAAAGCAGGGGAUCGUAAGACCUCGCGCUAUUAGAGCGGCCGAUGUCCGAUUAGCUAGUUGGUGGGGUAAUGGCCUACCAAGGCGACGAUCGGUAGCUGGUCUGAGAGGAUGAUCAGCCACACUGGGACUGAGACACGGCCCAGACUCCUACGGGAGGCAGCAGUGGGGAAUUUUGGACAAUGGGCGCAAGCCUGAUCCAGCCAUGCCGCGUGAGUGAAGAAGGCCUUCGGGUUGUAAAGCUCUUUCGGCCGGAACGAAAUCGUCCGGGCUAAUACCUCGGAUGGAUGACGGUACUGGAAGAAGAAGCACCGGCUAACUACGUGCCAGCAGCCGCGGUAAUACGUAGGGUGCAGGCGUUAAUCGGAAUUACUGGGCGUAAAGCGUGCGCAGGCGGCUUCCUAAGUCAGAUGUGAAAUCCCCGGGCUCAACCUGGGAACUGCGUUUGAAACUACAAGGCUAGAAU